GCCGACGUAGCUCAGGGGUAGAGCAGCACUUUCGUAAAGUGCGGGUCGGGGGUUCGAAUCCCUUCGUCGGCU
This 72-nucleotide transfer RNA is filed under the name Chloroflexota bacterium. RNAcentral describes it as "Chloroflexi bacterium (groundwater metagenome) tRNA-Thr". It matches the Rfam family "tRNA". From Rfam's summary of the family: Transfer RNA (tRNA) molecules are approximately 80 nucleotides in length. Their secondary structure includes four short double-helical elements and three loops (D, anti-codon, and T loops). Lineage: Bacteria; Bacillati; Chloroflexota. The record is from RNAcentral.